Borealophlyctis nickersoniae is the source of this 110-nucleotide non-coding RNA. NCBI's taxonomy places the organism in Eukaryota, Fungi, Chytridiomycota, Chytridiomycetes, Rhizophlyctidales, Borealophlyctidaceae. The record is from the annotation of a GenBank genome assembly.
UCUCGGUUAGUAUAAUGGUUCAGUAUCUCCGCCUGUCAACUGUUGGUAGGAUCUGCUCCAACAUCUACGACGGUUCGCGGAAGAUCCGGGUUCGAUUCCCGGACCGAGAG